GUGGGGAAUCUUGCGCAAUGGGCGAAAGCCUGACGCAGCCAUGCCGCGUGAAUGAUGAAGGUCUUAGGAUUGUAAAAUUCUUUCACCGGGGACGAUAAUGACGGUACCCGGAGAAGAAGCUCCGGCUAACUCCGUGCCAGCAGCCGCGGUAAUACGGAGGGGGCUAGCGUUGUUCGGAAUUACUGGGCGUAAAGCGCGCGUAGGCGGACCAGAAAGUUGGAGGUGAAAUCCCAGGGCUCAACCUUGGAACUGCCUUCAAAACUCCUGGUCUGGAGUUCGAGAGAGGUGAGUGGAAUUCCGAGUGUAGAGGUGAAAUUCGUAGAUAUUCGGAGGAACACCAGUGGCGUAGGCGCCCAACUGGCUAGAUACUGACGCUGAGGCACGAAAGCGUGGGGAGCAAACAGGAUUAGAAACCCGUGUAGUCC
This 425-nucleotide ribosomal RNA is filed under the name uncultured bacterium. RNAcentral's name for it is "partial 16S ribosomal RNA". It matches the Rfam family "Bacterial small subunit ribosomal RNA", at positions 354 to 796 of the family's 1533-position model. The record is from RNAcentral.